CUUGUAAAUACAGAUAUUCAUUAAAAAAUAUCUCACUCCAACAUCAAAAAUAUAUUUUAAACAUAACAUGUGAUGCUUACGGCAGGUGGUUUUCUAACUGACUCAACUUCUGUAGGUAGUUUCAGCUAACGAAUCUUACGAACUGGCCACACUGAUUAUGUCACAAAUUGUUUUGCUUCUUCCUCAUAGUCAAGGCUAGCUUUGUAAGUACAUAUAAAUCUUAUUAUAUAAAGUUUGGUUCUUCAAAGUUGCUAAUUAACAUGAUCACGACAUGUGUCAACAAAUUUUCUAAGAUUUUGACAUGUGUCAAAAAUAUGAUAUUUUUUUUUUAGGAUUUAAAAGAGAUUUAGAAAAUAAAAGUUAUUAUUACAAAAAUAUUAUUUUAAGAUUCUUUUAAGAUUUUAGAAAAAGACAAUCAAUACAAUACUAAAAGGAAGAUAUAAUCCACUGGGAGAGUGUCCACACAGGAUUGAAAAAUCAACCAAUCAUGAUAUAAGGUUUUGACACGUCAGCGGUUCCCUCAAUGUCUCUUUCUUCCGUAAAUCAUUAAACAUCUUGGGCUUGAAAAUUUCUUGGGCUUAUUGAUUUUUUUGUAGGGUUUCUUAGUUGUCGUCACAAGCAGUAACUCCCGUCAUAUUGUCUUCUACCAGUUCCUUUGACGGAGAAACUAAGUGUUGAUGGCAUUCAAUCAAUUCACCCACUUUCUCCUCAUCAAUACAGGUUUUUCUCCUCCCCCAUCAAUCGAAUUGGAUACAUAUAUAUAGUCUCUAGGAUCUCAAGAGGAAUCUCAAACGUCUUACGAAUCAUCUACCUGCGACAACCCUACAAGUAGAAGUUCUUAGAAUGGCGAUUACUCAGCUCCACUUCUCCGAUUUGAAAGCUGGUCGUUUGGAUGACAGAGUUGUCACAAGUCUUCUUUGUUUUGGGAGGCUAGGAACGCUAAGAAAUCUGGGGAGCUUAUGAGUGUGGAUUUCAUGCUCCUCAAUGAGAAGUGCCCUCGACAUUCCAAGAUUACGGGGAAGAAAGUCACAGUUGGUCUUAUCUCUGCAACCCCCUCUGAACGCAUCACUACUCUUUCCAACGGCGGCGUUAAAACCUAGCUCCAGUAUGGGGGGGGGGGGAAUUGUGAAGUGCAUUGAUUUAGUAAUGUUUCGUGCUGUUUAUAUGCCUUACCUACACGGACAGUAAAGCACGUGAUUAAUACACACCUGCUGGUGGCAAUCUCUAUCUUUUAGAUUGCUCUUUUCUAUGCUGCAACCUCAUACCUGGUGUGAGGCGGGAAGCUCGCAAGGUGUGAAGCGUGAAAGUGAGACUGAAACUGAAACUGAUGCCUGACUCAGAGAACCGGCUAGCUUCUCUUUGAUUUUUUUUUUCUAUCAUAUAUAUGGCUUAACAAUCUUAUGCUUUUCGAAAAGGUUUGGAGAAAAUCCAUGGUUACAGGAGAAAUAUAGAGCCACCACUGUGACACAUUUAAAACAAUUGGAGGCAAUGCAUGUUAAUAAAACAAGUUUCGGUUUUGAUUUGUCUCUCCACAUUAAUUUUUGAUAGCUACCCUAUUUAUACUUUGUCCCAGAGAAGAUUGCUGGUUAGUAGUUCCGGUCACCGGUGAGGUAACAAUGGUGUAGAAACUCUCGAGAGUUCUUUUGUGGGUUCAAAAAGAAAACAUGGCAAUGGUGGUGAAACACAUUUCAAUGAGCUUAGCAAUGGAGACACUGGGAAAACAGCUAUGGUUUCAAGAGGAGAGUUGACGUUUCAAGAUAUUUACGGUGCACAGGCAUUGCUGAAUGAAGACGAUGAGGAAGGCUAUAGUGAUUGGGAACCUCAGAAGAUGCCAGCUGAGUUUGUGAAAUGGUGUUGCUUCAAUUGCACUAUGGCAAAUCCUGGUGAUAUGGUUCAUUGUUAUGUAUAUUUUGCUUACUUUUUCAUGUUUGAAUAAUUUUGUUUCUGAUCUUAUCAUUACCAGCGUCUGCAAUUACUUGUCUGAGGCAUGGAUCUUUUGCAUCUCUGUUAUUUAAAAGACACUGGUCUCUCACCGAAGUCGAAGAGAAAUGUGGAGGAAAUUAAUCUGCAGCUAGCUCAACAGCUGUUGGUUUUGAGGACAUAAUGUUGCUGCACUCAGAAGUAUGAUUUUGUACCUGUUAUAGUUUCCUGAGAUAUCUGUUGACGUCAAUACAAUUUAUUUACCUCCAAAGCUUUUCUUCGUGCAAUUAUUUCGCAAGAGCUCCAGAUGGUCUACACUUUAGAGCAUGUUAAUUUCACAAGCCAGCUUCUCUAUAGCUACUUCACCGCCGACACAUACUAAUAAGUAUUGAGCACCUGCUGCUAAUCUAGCAGCAGGUUUGUGUGCUGAUCUAGCUAAAGAAAUUUCCUCAUGAUAAAAUGUUAAUCAGCCGGGAACUUAGAAGCUCAUUAUGUUUAAGCUCAGGUCAGAUUGGUAAGUUGCUCAAAUGUGUGUCCCGAGGUUAGAUGUCUUUAAACUUGCAACUAAAGGUAUAUUCACACAGCAGUUUUGGUGAGCCUGACAUGAACUGCUCGACAAGUUCGAAAAAGUAUGGGGGUGUUCAGAAAAUUUAAACUAUGACGGUCUCUGAGCUAAAUGCUUAUGUUCUCCAUUGUCAACCGCAUGUGCAUUCCGUUCCUGGUCCAUUCUGCUAAAUGUUAUCACAACAAUAUACAUAUUACACACAUGUAAUAUUACGUCUACAUCUUCAGUUGAUUAUUUUGUUCUGGUACUUAUCUUUUACCAGCUUAAACUUUAACGGUUUCGAUAGAUAAAUGUUUGGUUUAUCUCACUUGAUCAACUCCUCCGAAACUAAGUCAUUGCCUUCCAAAAAAAAUAUCAAAGUACUUUGAUGGAAUGAAUUAGCUACGCUGUUACAUACCAUAUUUACUUUACAAAUCCCAAGCUUUUUCAUAAGUCCAUAGUCAUCACCUCCAUCCAUUUCACACUUCCAACCACGUCAUUAUUUCGAAUCAAGAGUUUGACUAUAAUAUGAUGAGAAUAAAUAUACUCGAAGAUAAAAAAAAAUCUCGCUGAGUUCUACAAGUAAUAAACCUGUUUCUAAUAUUAGAUAAAAGUCACCGGAUUUGAAUAUUACUUGAUAAAUUACAGAGGUAUAAGAGAAACUAUUACAUGUUACCGCUACAAUAUAGUUGACCGGUUCGGCACAUGUUACUAUUACAAGCUAAUUACCAAAAUUAUUUUCAUCAUUUGACGAAUAUUUGUCCACCAUAUCUAUUACCAUAUUAAAUAAAACAAAACCACCUUCUAUGCUUUAACAUUUAGAACCAGAUUCAACCAAAACAAACCCAAAAAAAGUUAUGUAUCUUUAGACGAUGGAAAAAUAUGUGAAACCCCAUAAAUGACAUCAAAAAGUACAUAGACUAACAUUCUUGACACAAUGUUAAAAAAAGAACACAACUGCAACUCACAGAUACGGAGUAAAUGUCCAAAACAAACAUCAAUGCUACACUAACAAAUAUUAAGUUCGUCUAUUUCAUUCGAUACACACACGGUCAAUCAGUUUUAUAUCUUAAGAUAAUACUUCAAAAAGCAAGCUAGUGGAGUUUAUUAGAAGUUAUAUAUAUAAUUUAAGGAUUAAAUUUUGAAAUACACUUUUAAAAAUAAAAAUAAAAAUUAUAUUUUCAAAUAAAUUAUUAUUCUUUUACUGAAAAUUAAAAAUUGAAACAUCAUACAUUAAUUUUCAGUAUCUGUUAAAUUAUUGUUUUAUCUUCGUAACAAAAUAAUGAUGAGAAGUAAAAAUACAAUCUAUAUAUUUACAUCUUAUUUCAUUUGGGUGAGAGGUCUGUAUUCAUACAGAAGAAUACCGUAAAAAAAAAAGAAAUACCGUAAAUUAACAAAGCCCGAAUUUUACUUGAUUUUAACCCCAACUUGAUUUAGUUUUUUAUUUUUAUAUCAAUAAUUAUAACCCCUUCUCGAAUCAAUAAAAUAUUUAAUUUUAUUGAAACAAGUAGUUCUAAAAAAUAAAAAUAUCGCAAUAAGGAAAUAAAAUUAAUUGAAAAAUACGUCUAAAACAUUAAUAAAACUUAUAAGAAAAGUAAAUCAACAACAUAUAGUUAUGAAAUCAUAUAAUAUCUAUUUUCAAUAUUAUUAGCGUUUGCACUCAGAUAAUUUUAAAUUCAUUUUAUAAUUUAUGUUUUGUGAAAAUUGAUAGAUAUGCAUUAUAUAUAUAAUCAAAUAGUAAUAUAAUAUAUUAAACUAAACUAAAAUUUAUAUAAGUAACCCGGGCGUAGUCCGGGAAAACCACUAGUUAUCAACAUAAAUCAUCAACUUAUUUCUAUUACUUAACGAAAUAUGGAACAUAUUCAUACCUCGGUAGCCAAACCAAUGUCUUUUCCAUUUUCCAACAAUAACACCACAGCUCCACACCAAUUUAUACAAAUUUUGAAGACAAAUACAACGAUGAGACUCAAAUAUAUCAAACCAGAACGAAGAAAAACUAAAAACCAGACAAAAAGAACAGCGCUAAUAUAAUCUACAGCAACAAGAAGCUUCAAUAUGCAAGAAGAAUCUGCAGAAAUAAAAUGGGAAACAUUUAGUCUUAGUUUAGAUCAUUUGCGAACAUCCUCAUACCACUCAAAUUACCCUAAGGAGUGAGUUAUACUCUGUCAAAUACGAGGUUGAGUUGCAGUACUUAGGGAUCGAAUUCACAGGGAGAUAGGGAAUUUAAGAAAUCUAAUAUGAUUUGUUAAGCAGGGUGUUUUAAUGGUUUUAAAUGUAAAUUGCAGUUUUUAUGAAGCAAGUGUUUGCUCAAUUGAUUGGUUGAGGUUUAGGUGCUUAAAAGGAAAUAGCUAGACUUAGGGUUUUUAUUCAGGAAACUUGGGAUUAUAAUCCUACAGAUGCCUAAUGAGUUGCAUGCAUGAUAAUGUAAAGGUCAACUACUUAGUCAACGAGUCUAUCAGCUUGUGCAUGUUUGGACUUGUCUAUUAACUAGAUCUAAUGAUCUCAACUAUCGUAUGUCGAUCAAUUAGAAAUUGUUGAUCGAUGAUCCUAUAGGGAUAUCGAUCGAUUCACCUUUCGCUCCGUCGAUCGAUUAUUAAAUAAUGAUAUCGAUCGACGCGCUUCUAGUUAAGCUUUAUGCGCGGGUUGAAUGAUAGCUUACUAAGCUAACUAGAUCAGCUCUCGCCUUACUCAUACCACGAAACUUAGCUUAAUUAGAAUGUUUUUAGGAUGAGAAUGAAGCUCUCGCAUUUAUCUAUCAAUCCUAGGACAAGUUCUAGGUAGCUAAUCUAGAAACAAACAUUAAUGAACAAGCCUAAUUACAAUCACCACAACUCAGCAAUCUAUAGUUGGGGCUAAUCCCUCCUAACAUAUUUAAACCCUAAAAUCUAACAGUGAAACUACUAAGACAUGGCUAAGCAGUUCAUAACAUCAAUUAGGUAAGAAAACUUCACUAGAAUAGUAAAUAGAUAUAAAUGGAGUUCCAAUCACAAAUUAUAACUUUGGAUCUUCUCUUCAACCUAUCAAAAUCCUAGAAAACCUUGCUGUGAAAAAUAAUAAAACAAGAAAGCACACCUUGCCUCUAACAUGGUGGCAAAGCUUAUAUAAUUAGGUAAAAACUUGUCAGGGGUAACCAAACGGGCUUUCUGCGUGCUUCGCUGUCGAUCGAUGUUAAGACAUGAACAUCGAUCGAUUAUUCCUCUUCAUUAUCGACCGAUGGUCAAGCUCGAUGGUCAUCUCCAAAAUGCUCCAAAAUCAUCACUUAUCUCCAAAUCACUCCUGAUCCUAUAAAUAUUCUAAAUAGACUCUAUAAUAUAAUAAUUAGUAUUUAAAACACUUAUAAACCAUGGAUAAAAGUGGGUCAAAUUCAUAGUCUAUCAACUCCCCCAGACUUACCCUUUUGCUUGUCCUCAAGCAAAAUAAAUAUGCAGUCUCUCUGAAAGAGAUUUAAAAACAACAUGGACUCACAUGAUUUAAAAUUUAUAAUCAUCACCUCUACAAUAUUGCAAUCCACAUCUAAAAAGUCCUAAUC
Long non-coding RNA from Brassica rapa (field mustard), 5993 nucleotides. RefSeq lists it as uncharacterized. The record is from RefSeq and is a predicted model, not a curated record. NCBI's taxonomy places the organism in Eukaryota, Viridiplantae, Streptophyta, Magnoliopsida, Brassicales, Brassicaceae.